RNAcentral lists this ribosomal RNA (784 nucleotides) under Globodera pallida. Its description in RNAcentral is "eukaryotic LSU rRNA". It matches the Rfam family "Eukaryotic large subunit ribosomal RNA", at positions 344 to 964 of the family's 3401-position model. The record is from RNAcentral. Lineage: Eukaryota; Metazoa; Nematoda; Chromadorea; Rhabditida; Heteroderidae.
ACAAGUACCGUGAGGGAAAGUUGCAAAGCACUUUGAAGAGAGAGUUAAAGAGGACGUGAAACCGAUGGGAUGGAAACGGACAGAGCUGGCGUAUCUGGUCUGCAUUCAUCCGUGUGUUCUUGGGCGUUUGGAUUGCCACUCUCCAGACUGGGAUGGUGUUCAUUCUGCUCAGGGGCUCAUGGAGCAUUUGCAGGCGGAGUGCGCUGAGAUGCUCGGGACAGCUGCAUGAGCUUGGCUUUGAGGCCAGCCCUUCGGGGUCUGGUACCCGGGCUGUGGGAGUGCUGUUUGUUCUGGGUGCUGAGUGUGUGCAAUGGCAACGGGUCCGUGUUGGUUUGAGCUGGUGGUUGGUGGCGGUCGCGUGCGACACGUGCCGGCAGUCAGUUCGGUCCUGCUCGGGCUCUCAUUGCAUGUUCUCGGUGUAAAAGCCGGUCAUCUGUCCGACCCGUCUUGAAACACGGACCAAGGAGUUUAGCGUGUGCGCGAGUCAUUGGGAGUUGAAAACCCAAGGGCGUAAUGAAAGUGAAGGUCUCCUUGCGGAGCUGAUGUGUGAUCUCGUGCACCCCGGUGUGCGGGCGCAACAUAGUCCCGUCCCGAUCGCAUGCGAUGGGGCGGAGACAGAGCGUACGCGCUGAGACCCGAAAGAUGGUGAACUAUUCCUGAGCAGGAUGAAGCCAGAGGAAACUCUGGUGGAAGUCCGAAGCGAUUCUGACGUGCAAAUCGAUCGUCUGACUUGGGUAUAGGGGCGAAAGACUAAUCGAACCAUCUAGUAGCUGGUUCCUUCCGA